CCCUUCGGGGAGCUGUUACAGGUGUUGCAUGGCUGUCGUCAGCUCGUGUCGUGAGAUGUUCGGUUAAGUCCGCUAACGAGCGCAACCCGCGUUGUGUGUUACAAGUGUCACACAAUACCGCCGGUAUUAAGUCGGAGGAAGGUGCGGAUGACGUCAAGUCAGCAUGACCUUUAUAUCCAGGGCUACACACACGCUACAAUGGUCGGCACAAUAGGUUGCCAAGUCGUGAGACGGAGCCAAUCCUCCAAAGCCGGCCUCAGUUCAGAUUGCAGGCUGCAACUCGCCUGCAUGAAGUUGGAGUUGCUAGUAAACGCAGGUCAGCUAUACUGCGUUGAAUACGUUCCCGGGGAUU
RNAcentral lists this ribosomal RNA (352 nucleotides) under uncultured Anaerolineaceae bacterium. Its description in RNAcentral is "bacterial SSU rRNA". It matches the Rfam family "Bacterial small subunit ribosomal RNA", at positions 1016 to 1378 of the family's 1533-position model. Lineage: Bacteria; Bacillati; Chloroflexota; Anaerolineae; Anaerolineales; Anaerolineaceae. The record is from RNAcentral.